CGGACAUUAGAAUUCAUCGAUAUGUAACCCUGAUCGAAGAGUCCCAAACCAGUGGGACUCUUGACCCCGGUACCCAAAAUAUGUGGGACUCAUGAUCAGAGAAUCCUGAUUCUCGAUCACAGAGUCUCAAAUAUGUAGGACUCAUAGUCCAUGAGCAUUAGGACUCUUCAUCAGCCAUCAGAUCAGAUAGGAACCUCUAAUGUGUGUGACCCC
This 213-nucleotide long non-coding RNA is filed under the name Elaeis guineensis (African oil palm). RNAcentral describes it as "long non-coding RNA (EGUI_LNC053459)". Lineage: Eukaryota; Viridiplantae; Streptophyta; Magnoliopsida; Arecales; Arecaceae. The record is from RNAcentral.